Long non-coding RNA from Ipomoea triloba (trilobed morning glory), 939 nucleotides. RefSeq lists it as uncharacterized. The record is from RefSeq and is a predicted model, not a curated record. The transcript has 5 exons. Lineage: Eukaryota; Viridiplantae; Streptophyta; Magnoliopsida; Solanales; Convolvulaceae.
CCCAAUUCCCGUUCUAGCUCUUGUUUCUCUUGCACAAACGCUCUUUUGUCUCCAUUUUUCUCUCGAACAAUGUCGGUCUCUCGGAUUCUCUCUCCAUUCGCUCGACUUCGUUCUCUCAUCCAAAAACUUGCAAUUACAAUAAGAUCCUAGGUUCUCUACAGUCGCAGCAGUUUUAUAUUUUUCUGUUAGCAGCAUUCAAGCUCAGUAAGAUUACAUAAGUUUUAAGGAAGAAGAUUGAUCGAAGGGUAUGCUGUCAAACUGUGAAGUGACCAAGCAGGCGUAGGACCAUAUUCCUAUUGUCGGUCUCUUAUUUUGAGUGACUUUGCAGAUUUAGGUUUUUAUAUUAUUUAUCUUACCUAAAUAACUUAUAACUGUGACUUUUUACAUGUGAUGUUUGCAAUUCGAAUAGCCGACAUUUUUUUACAAAUAGCACUUCAUCUAUUUAUUAUAAAUAAUUUUGAUGCAGGAAAGUUGGUUGGCCAUCUGCAGUAGUUUGUCUUAAAUUAACUGAUCCAUCAGAAUCAACAAAUGUCUUUAUAUAAGGAGGAUCAAGGUAUUCCAAUUGCAGAAUUUCAAAGUUCAAAUAAAAGCAUUUUGGAGCUGCAACUGAUCCUAAAAUAUUUGUAUAGGUUAUACGUGUAUGGGAUACAGAAAUUUGCUCAUUAUAUAUGCAACAUACUGGUACUGGAAUCUACAGGAAGGUACGAACCAGCCGGACUUUCAUUGCACAAUUAGUUUUCAGAGGAGAAAUGCCUCUUGCAACAAUGUACAUUGGAGAUUUGGAGCCAUGGUGACUUUAAAGAAGGAUCAAGCGGAUAUGAACUGAACCGUUUUCAAUUGAAUGUAUUUAUAGAGUAAUGUAAUGUUUCGAGCCGUAAGUUAUACAAACGAUGUCGAGCCGUAAAUAUAAAAGCAAAAGUAAAUGUUGUUUGAUCGAAA